CCGAGUUUUCAACUCCCAAACCCCUGUGAACAUACCUAUCGUUGCCUCGGCGGAUGCGCCCCGGUGCCCUCGGGCCCGGACCCAGGCGCCCGCCGGAGGACCCCCAAACUCUUUUGUUUUUUAGUGAAUCUUCUGAGUAAACAAGCAAAUAAAUUA
Molecule: unclassified non-coding RNA, 156 nt
Filed under: uncultured Fusicolla
Lineage: Eukaryota; Fungi; Ascomycota; Sordariomycetes; Hypocreales; Nectriaceae
Description: sequence contains ITS1
Source: RNAcentral